This 401-nucleotide long non-coding RNA is filed under the name Equus asinus (donkey). Its description in RNAcentral is "lncRNA (ENSEASG00005029303.1, ENSEASG00020007745.1)". Lineage: Eukaryota; Metazoa; Chordata; Mammalia; Perissodactyla; Equidae. The record is from RNAcentral.
GAGGAACAUUAUUCCUGAGCUAACAUCUGUGCCAGCCUUCCUCUACUUUGUAUGUGGGUCACCACCACAACAUGGCCACUGACAAGUAGUAUACAUGCAUACCUGGGAACCAAACCUGGGCCGCUGAAGCAGAGCACACCAAACUUAACUCCUGGGCCAUAGAGCCAGCCCCCAAAAUACUCUUCAACAUGUCUCUUUUAUUUUCCAUUUCUGACAAUUUUAAGCCUUCCACACUGUUGGUGUGUUUAUGAAUACAGAGUUGAGUUUGAAGAAGGCACCCCAGAGCUAAUGACACACGCUUGCCUUAAUGAUUCUUAAGUGCACCUGCUAUCUCAAACUCUGGGAAAUAUCUUUCUCCAGGGACUCCAGAUGAUUUCUAACUAUCCACACAGUAAAAUCUU